RNAcentral lists this ribosomal RNA (301 nucleotides) under uncultured bacterium. RNAcentral's name for it is "partial 16S ribosomal RNA". It matches the Rfam family "Bacterial small subunit ribosomal RNA", at positions 509 to 807 of the family's 1533-position model. The record is from RNAcentral.
CAGCCGCCGCGGGAAUACGAAGGGGGCUAGCGUUGUUCGGAAUUACUGGGCGUAAAGCGCACGUAGGCGGAUAUUUAAGUCAGGGGUGAAAUCCCAGAGCUCAACUCUGGAACUGCCUUUGAUACUGGGUAUCUUGAGUAUGGAAGAGGUAAGUGGAAUUGCGAGUGUAGAGGUGAAAUUUGUAGAUAUUCGCAGGAACACCAGUGGCGAAGGCGGCUUACUGGUCCAUUACUGACGCUGAGGUGCGAAAGCGUGGGGAGCAAACAGGAUUAGAUACCCCCGUAGUCCCUGUCUCUUAUAC